AUAGUAAGACAAGAGGCUGUCACAACGACAGCAAACCGGAUUUAUUAACAUUUAUUUGUGUCCUGGCAAUAUCACAAGAACCAUUACUGAUGAAUGGUGAAAGUGAAAAUCGUCAAUAUCAAAUUUGACCUCCAUUUUGUCAUCAGUAUCAACAUAUUAAAAUUUGAAAAGCUUAGAUUGAAUGGUUCAUGAGUAAAUGCAACAACUUGAAUGGAAACGCCAUUUUACAAUCUUUCAAGAACCAUAACUCCUGAACGGUAAAAGUCAAAAUCGUCAUUAUUGAACUUGACCUCUAUUUUGUCAUCAGUAACAACAUAUUAAAAUUUCAAAAGCUUUGGUUG
Molecule: long non-coding RNA, 341 nt
Filed under: Mytilus galloprovincialis (Mediterranean mussel)
Lineage: Eukaryota; Metazoa; Mollusca; Bivalvia; Mytilida; Mytilidae
Source: RNAcentral